This 488-nucleotide ribosomal RNA is filed under the name uncultured bacterium. RNAcentral's name for it is "bacterial SSU rRNA". It matches the Rfam family "Bacterial small subunit ribosomal RNA", at positions 28 to 521 of the family's 1533-position model. The record is from RNAcentral.
GACGAACGCUGGCGGCACGCUUAACACAUGCAAGUCGAACGAAAAUGUUUCACCGUAGCUUGCUACACCGAGACAUUUUAGUGGCGGACGGGUGAGUAACACGUGAGGAACCUGCCUAUCAGAGAGGGAUACCGUUUGGAAACGAACGUUAAUACCUCAUAACGUAACGAGAUCGCAUGAUAAUGUUACCAAAGAUUUAUCGCUGAUAGAUGGCCUCGCGUCUGAUUAGAUAGUUGGUGAGGUAACGGCUCACCAAGUCGACGAUCAGUAGCCGGACUGAGAGGUUGAACGGCCACAUUGGGACUGAGACACGGCCCAGACUCCUACGGGAGGCAGCAGUGGGGAAUAUUGCACAAUGGGGGAAACCCUGAUGCAGCGACGCCGCGUGAGUGAAGAAGUAUUUCGGUAUGUAAAGCUCUAUCAGCAGGAAAGAUAAUGACGGUACCUGACUAAGAAGCCCCGGCUAACUACGUGCCAGCAGCCGCGGU